GUCCACGCCGUAAACGAUGGAUGCUAGCCGUUGGCAGGCUUGCCUGUCAGUGGCGCAGCUAACGCAUUAAGCAUCCCGCCUGGGGAGUACGGUCGCAAGAUUAAAACUCAAAGGAAUUGACGGGGGCCCGCACAAGCGGUGGAGCAUGUGGUUCAAUUCGAAGCAACGCGCAGAACCUUACCAACCUUUGACAUCCCGGUCGCGGGCACCAGAGAUGGAGCCUUUCAGUUCGGCUGGACCGGAGACAGGUGCUGCAUGGCUGUCGU
This 266-nucleotide ribosomal RNA is filed under the name uncultured bacterium. RNAcentral's name for it is "partial 16S ribosomal RNA". It matches the Rfam family "Bacterial small subunit ribosomal RNA", at positions 793 to 1055 of the family's 1533-position model. The record is from RNAcentral.